Suricata suricatta (meerkat) is the source of this 635-nucleotide long non-coding RNA. RefSeq lists it as uncharacterized. Lineage: Eukaryota; Metazoa; Chordata; Mammalia; Carnivora; Herpestidae. The record is from RefSeq and is a predicted model, not a curated record. The transcript has 3 exons.
AGCAGUUCAUGAAAACUACACAGACAAGUAUCUAACAUAGUAAAUACUCACCAAAUACACUAUUGCCGUUGCUGCAACUGCUGCUAUUAUUUAUAUCAUCACUAUCUUCACUGUCAUUGACAUCAGCUAUUUCCUGACAAAGUUACAAAUUUGAAGCAAUGUCUAUCAACUGAAGAUAAACAUCUGCCCUACCCUCCACUUCUCUCUAAAAUUAGAUAAAAAGCAGCAAAUCAGAAGCACGCAGACAUCAGAAGGAAGAAGACUUCUUACAGCUGUCAGCCAAUAAGCCAACAAAUCAACAAGCUCUUUUUGAAUGGUUGCAUUUGGAGAUGUUCUACCUCUCAACUCUUCAUCAUCAUCAAUUCUAAUACACCCUCACUCUCACUGCAAAAUAGACAAAAGUAGUUUCUUUGCACUGCUUUUCCUUAUGACUACAGAGAAAUCUCAGAUGAUCCAGUGUUUCCAUCAUAAUAAAUGGUAUCUAAGCUGUAGCUCUCCCUCUUCUUGAAGGUUGUCUUUGUGUUCCUCUUCCUCCCAAGAUGGGCCAUUAUACUCAGGCCGUCAUAAAAGGAAAAAAUUGAUGAAUGUGUCUACCAAAAAUAAAAAUCAGAUUAAAAAAUAAACUUCCAGUGGCA